AUAAGCGUUGGAAACGACGUCUAAUACCGGAUACGACCCUCGGAGGCAUCUUCAGGGGGUGGAAAGAAUUUUGGUCAAGGAUGAGCUCGCGGCCUAUCAGCUUGUUGGUGAGGUAAUGGCUCACCAAGGCGACGACGGGUAGCCGGCCUGAGAGGGUGACCGGCCACACUGGGACUGAGACACGGCCCAGACUCCUACGGGAGGCAGCAGUGGGGAAUAUUGCACAAUGGGCGCAAGCCUGAUGCAGCAACGCCGCGUGAGGGACGACGGCCUUCGGGUUGUAAACCUCUUUUAGUAGGGAAGAAGCGAAAGUGACGGUACCUGCAGAAAAAGCACCGGCUAACUACGUGCCAGCAGCCGCGGUAAUACGUAGGGUGCAAGCGUUGUCCGGAAUUAUUGGGCGUAAAGAGCUCGUAGGCGGUUUGUCGCGUCUGCUGUGAAAACCCGAGGCUCAACCUCGGGCCUGCAGUGGGUACGGGCAGACUAGAGUGCGGUAGGGGAGAUUGGAAUUCCUGGUGUAGCGGUGGAAUGCGCAGAUAUCAGGAGGAACACCGAUGGCGAAGGCAGAUCUCUGGGCCGUAACUGACGCUGAGGAGCGAAAGCAUGGGGAGCGAACAGGAUUAGAUACCCUGGUAGUCCAUGCCGUAAACGUUGGGAACUAGAUGUGGGGGCCAUUCCACGGUCUCCGUGUCGCAGCUAACGCAUAAGUUCCCCGCCUGGGGAAUACGGCCGCAAGGCUAAAACUCAAAGGAAUUGACGGGGGCCCGCACAAGCGGCGGAGCAUGCGGAUUAAUUCGAUGCAACGCGAAGAACCUUACCAAGGCUUGACAUAUACCGGAAACGUCUGGAAACAGUCGCCCCGCAAGGUCGGUAUACAGGUGGUGCAUGGUUGUCGUCAGCUCGUGUCGUGAGAUGUUGGGUUAAGUCCCGCAACGAGCGCAACCCUCGUCCUAUGUUGCCAGCACGUAAUGGUGGGAACUCAUGGGAUACUGCCGGGGUCAACUCGGAGGAAGGUGGGGAUGACGUCAAAUCAUCAUGCCCCUUAUGUCUUGGGCUUCACGCAUGCUACAAUGGCCGGUACAAAGGGCUGCAAUACCGUAAGGUGGAGCGAAUCCCAAAAAGCCGGUCUCAGUUCGGAUUGAGGUCUGCAACUCGACCUCAUGAAGUCGGAGUCGCUAGUAAUCGCAGAUCAGCAACGCUGCGGUGAAUACGUUCCCGGGCCUUGUACACACCGCCCGUCAAGUCAUGAAAGUCGGUAACACCCGAAGCCAGUGGCCCAACCUUUUGGAGGGAGCUGUCGAAG
This 1303-nucleotide ribosomal RNA is filed under the name Cryobacterium sp. RNAcentral describes it as "bacterial SSU rRNA". It matches the Rfam family "Bacterial small subunit ribosomal RNA", at positions 143 to 1461 of the family's 1533-position model. Lineage: Bacteria; Bacillati; Actinomycetota; Actinomycetes; Micrococcales; Microbacteriaceae. The record is from RNAcentral.